RNAcentral lists this ribosomal RNA (659 nucleotides) under uncultured bacterium. Its description in RNAcentral is "bacterial SSU rRNA". It matches the Rfam family "Bacterial small subunit ribosomal RNA", at positions 29 to 737 of the family's 1533-position model. The record is from RNAcentral.
ACGAACGCUGGCGGCAGCCACAAUACAAGUGAACGCCCCGCAACGGGAGUUGAACGGGUGAGUAACGCGUGGGAAUCUACCCAACUCUACGGAAUAACUCAGGGAAACUUGUGCUAAUACAGUAUACGCCCUUCGGGGGGAAAGAUUUAUCGGAGUUGGAUGAGCCCGCGUUGGAUUAGCUAGUUGGUGGGGUAAAGGCCUACCAAGGCGACGAUCCAUAGCUGGUCUGAGAGGAUGAUCAGCCACAUUGGGACUGAGACACGGCCCAAACUCCUACGGGAGGCAGCAGUGGGGAAUAUUGGACAAUGGGCGCAAGCCUGAUCCAGCCAUGCCGCGUGAGUGAUGAAGGCCCUAGGGUUGUAAAGCUCUUUCACCGGUGAAGAUAAUGACGGUAACCGGAGAAGAAGCCCCGGGUAACUUCGUGCCAGCAGCCGCGGUAAUACGAAGGGGGCUAGCGUUGUUCGGAAUUACUGGGCGUAAAGCGCACGUAGGCGGGUAUAUAAGUCAGGGGUGAAAUCCCAGAGCUCAACUCUGGAACUGGCUUUGAUACUGGGUACCUAGAGUAUGGCAGAGGUAAGUGGAAUUCCGAGUGUACAGGUGAAAUCCGGUACAAUAUCAGGAGGGAACCCCAAUGGCAAAAGGACGGUUUAAGGGUCCAU